Molecule: non-coding RNA, 1015 nt
Organism: Vicugna pacos (alpaca)
Lineage: Eukaryota; Metazoa; Chordata; Mammalia; Artiodactyla; Camelidae
Source: RefSeq, a predicted model, not a curated record
UACAGUUCCAAGGAUGUAAGUCCUCCCUUCCCAGCAUCAAAGCAGGAAUGACUCUCCUCCUCCAAGUCCAGUUUGGAAAAUGAGGAGAAGGAGCUGUGAUUGCUCUUGCCUGGGCCAGGGAGAUGCCGGCAUAAUGGAUUAUAAUUGGAGGGAGGUCGUGGUUACAUGAUUGGCCCAGUCUGGGUUACAUACUUGCCUUUUGUCCUGUCAUUUGUGGUGGGAGUCAUGGAGUUGGAGAGAAAAUUGCAGAUUCUUUAAGCCAAAUGUUUGCAAAGGGGAAAGAAGUUCCCAAGAGAAGGGGGUGCUGCCCCAGAGAAAGGAGGGAGGAGUUUUAGGCAGAAAAACAAUCCCUGUUCAUGAUACUAACUUCUACUGAUUUAAAACCAGCUCUUUGGGAAUCCCUUUUUAACCCAAGACAAAUUAUUAUACACCAUUCUCAAGCUCAGUCAUUUUUUAUUACUUCAUCUUAAUCCAACUACAGUUUGGGUUUAAUUUCCUAGUCUAUCCCAUCGAUUGGACUUCUAAGAGUUAACAACAACGUUCUUCUUUCUAAACACCCAAAAAAUAAUUUAAGGAAAAUCAAAUAAUAUUGCUGUGUGUGAAAUAAAAUGGGGACGUUUCAAGCCUACUGCUUAUUCUCCUGAAAUCUCCAACCAACUGAUAUAACAGUUUGGUUUGAAAACCAGUCUUAACAGAUCUCCUGAGUGUACCUGAAUGUGACUGGGUCCCUCAAGACCACCACUGGGACGUCACAGUCAUGCAGAUAUGAUCUCUGAGGUGUAUUCCUGCACUGAAUGACCCCUUAUGUUGCUGUCUUAAGUUCUUGCAUUGGCUUUGUAGAGUUUCCCCACCCGCAACAUGCCUCUCAGAAUGUGAGCUAACACACUCUCAGUGCUUUGCGCAGACCCUGCCCCUUCCUAUCCACUUCCUAUAAGUCGUAAAUCAAUUUAUCAAGCUUGAUAGAGUUGUCUCCAAUAAAUACAUUAAUUAAACAGAAUAAAAGAAUCCUAAUACA